Molecule: ribosomal RNA, 254 nt
Filed under: uncultured bacterium
Lineage: Bacteria
Description: partial 16S ribosomal RNA
Rfam family: Bacterial small subunit ribosomal RNA
Source: RNAcentral
UACGUAGGGUGCAAGCGUUAAUCGGAAUUACUGGGCGUAAAGCGUGCGCAGGCGGUGAUGUAAGACAGUUGUGAAAUCCCCGGGCUCAACCUGGGAACUGCAUCUGUGACUGCACGGCUAGAGUGUGUCAGAGGGGGGUAGAAUUCCACGUGUAGCAGUGAAAUGCGUAGAGAUGUGGAGGAAUACCGAUGGCGAAGGCAGCCCCCCUGGGAUAACACUGACGCUCAUGCACGAAAGCGUGGGGAGCAAACAGG